GGCGGAGGAUGGCUGAGUGGCUCAAGGCGCUGGUUUGAAGCAAUCCUCCGAAGGACGUGAUGAGUUCGAUUCCCACUCCCCCCGCCGUCUUCUGUAAUAUGCGACUGGUGGUCAAAUGAGAUUACCUUCACUGGAAACCCCUGGGGGUCACUGGUUCGACCCACUCCCCCGCCUCAGAAUGAGCGAGCCAAGCACUCCAUGAAUUACGACACUGGGAGGACCUCCACAACAUUGGUGAUGUAGCAGGUAGAAGAAUAAUAAUGGAUUGAACUGUUGUGAGAUUAAUGUAAAUGAAAAUGAAUAAAGAUUUAAAAAAUUUUUG
Molecule: non-coding RNA, 322 nt
Organism: Caenorhabditis elegans
Lineage: Eukaryota; Metazoa; Nematoda; Chromadorea; Rhabditida; Rhabditidae
Source: Ensembl